RNAcentral lists this ribosomal RNA (1381 nucleotides) under Halomonas sp. SO48. RNAcentral's name for it is "16S ribosomal RNA". It matches the Rfam family "Bacterial small subunit ribosomal RNA", at positions 64 to 1440 of the family's 1533-position model. Lineage: Bacteria; Pseudomonadati; Pseudomonadota; Gammaproteobacteria; Oceanospirillales; Halomonadaceae. The record is from RNAcentral.
GAGCGGCAGCACGGGGAGCUUGCUCCCUGGUGGCGAGCGGCGGACGGGUGAGUAAUGCAUAGGAAUCUGCCCGGUAGUGGGGGAUAACGUGGGGAAACCCACGCUAAUACCGCAUACGUCCUACGGGAGAAAGCGGAGGCUCUUCGGACUUCGCGCUAUCGGAUGAGCCUAUGUCGGAUUAGCUAGUUGGUAAGGUAACGGCUUACCAAGGCGACGAUCCGUAGCUGGUCUGAGAGGAUGAUCAGCCACACUGGGACUGAGACACGGCCCAGACUCCUACGGGAGGCAGCAGUGGGGAAUAUUGGACAAUGGGCGAAAGCCUGAUCCAGCCAUGCCGCGUGUGUGAAGAAGGCUUUCGGGUUGUAAAGCACUUUCAGCGAGGAAGAAAGCCUGUCGGUUAAUACCCGGCAGGAACGACAUCACUCGCAGAAGAAGCACCGGCUAACUCCGUGCCAGCAGCCGCGGUAAUACGGAGGGUGCGAGCGUUAAUCGGAAUUCUGGGCGUAAGCGCGCGUAGGUGGCUUGGCACGCCGGUUGUGAAAGCCCCGGGCUCAACCUGGGAACGGCAUCCGGAACGGCCAGGCUAGAGUGCAGGAAAGGAAGGUAGAAUUCCCGGUGUAGCGGUGAAAUGCGUAGAGAUCGGGAGGAAUACCAGUGGCGAAGGCGGCCUUCUGGCCUGACACUGACACUGAGGUGCGAAAGCGUGGGUAGCAAACAGGAUUAGAUACCCUGGUAGUCCACGCCGUAAACGAUGUCGACUAGCCGUUGGGACCUUUAAGGACUUAGUGGCGCAGUUAACGCGAUAAGUCGACCGCCUGGGGAGUACGGCCGCAAGGUUAAAACUCAAAUGAAUUGACGGGGGCCCGCACCAGCGGUGGAGCAUGUGGUUUAAUUCAUGCAACGCGAAGAACCUUACCUACCCUUGACAUCCUGCGAACCCGGAAGAGAUCCGGGGUGCCUUCGGGAACCCAAUGACAGGGGCUGCAUGGCUGUCAUCCAGCUCGUGUUGUGAAAUGUUGGGUUAAGUCCCGUAACGAGCGCAACCCUUGUCCUUAUUUGCCAGCGAUUCGGUCGGGAACUCUAAGGAGACUGCCGGUGACAAACCGGAGGAAGGUGGGGACGACGUCAAGUCAUCAUGGCCCUUACGGGUAGGGCUACACACGUGCUACAAUGGCCGGUACAAAGGGUUGCGAGACCGCGAGGUGGAGCGAAUCCCAGAAAGCCGGCCUCAGUCCGGAUCGGAGUCUGCAACUCGACUCCGUGAAGUCGGAAUCGCUAGUAAUCGUGAAUCAGAAUGUCACGGUGAAUACGUUCCCGGGCCUUGUACACACCGCCCGUCACACCAUGGGAGUGGACUGCACCAGAAGUGGUUAGCUUAACC